AAGUGGGCCUAAAAGCAGCCACCUUACAAAAAGCGUUAAAGCUUCAUUGGUUUAAAUUAAAAAUUCCAUUAAAUUUUUUACAACCCUUAAUCUGUACUGAAUGAUCUCAUAAUAUUAUGAGAGCCUAUAUGUUAGAACUAGUAACAAGAAGAAGUCCUUCUCCAAAAUGUAAGCAUGAGCCAAAAUGAACAAUUCAUUGGCAAUUAAAGUUAAAUAUUUAUUGUAGUAACCCAACAAGAAAAACCUACUAAUUAUUAGCGUCAACCUUACACUAGUACAUUUCUGGAAAGAUUAAAAGAAUGGGAAGGAACUCGGCAAAUAAUUAACCCCGCCUGUUUACCAAAAACAUCGCCUCCUGAUAUUUUAUAGGAGGUCCAGCCUGCCCAGUGACAAAGUUAAACGGCCGCGGUACCCUAACCGUGCAAAGGUAGCGCAAUCACUUGUUCUUUAAAUGAGGACUAGUAUGAACGGCAUCACGAGGGUUAUGCUGUCUCCCCACUCUAUUCAGUGAAACUGAUUUUCCCGUGAAGAAGCGGGAAUAAAAAUAUAAGACGAGAAGACCCCAUGGAGCUUUAAACUCAGUAUCAACUGCCUAACUAAAAAACCUUAUAUUUUGCAGCCAUGCUUACUAGAUUUCGGUUGGGGUGACCACGGAGUAAAACUAAACCUCCAUGAUGAAAGGAACUAAUAACCUAACCUAUGAGUUACAGCUCUAAGUAUCAACAAAUUGACUAAAUUGACCCAAUUACUUGAUCAACAAACCAAGUUACCCUGGGGAUAACAGCGCAAUCCAUUUCAAGAGCUCAUAUCGACAAAUGGGUUUACGACCUCGAUGUUGGAUCAGGGUAUCCCAGUGGCGCAGCUGCUACUAACGGUUC
This 878-nucleotide ribosomal RNA is filed under the name Microhyla sp. 3 VG-2020. RNAcentral describes it as "partial large subunit ribosomal RNA". It matches the Rfam family "Bacterial large subunit ribosomal RNA", at positions 1098 to 2574 of the family's 2925-position model. Lineage: Eukaryota; Metazoa; Chordata; Amphibia; Anura; Microhylidae. The record is from RNAcentral.